Branchiostoma floridae (Florida lancelet) is the source of this 119-nucleotide long non-coding RNA. RefSeq lists it as uncharacterized. The record is from RefSeq and is a predicted model, not a curated record. Lineage: Eukaryota; Metazoa; Chordata; Leptocardii; Amphioxiformes; Branchiostomatidae. The transcript is spliced from 2 exons.
GAGGGUCCAACCCCAACCCCGACGGAAACUAAGCAGCGAAGUUUACCGAUGUCCUGACCGCAGAUCUCCGGCAGCGGCCGCAAGACAAACAUACCAACGGAAAUAAACGUGUAAAAGUU